AUCGUUGUUUAGAAACUCUAUCGGCCUCCGGAGCCGAAGGUUAGAGGUUCGAAUCCUCUCGGGGAUA
RNAcentral lists this transfer RNA (67 nucleotides) under Planctomycetota bacterium. Its description in RNAcentral is "tRNA-Arg". It matches the Rfam family "tRNA". From Rfam's summary of the family: Transfer RNA (tRNA) molecules are approximately 80 nucleotides in length. Their secondary structure includes four short double-helical elements and three loops (D, anti-codon, and T loops). Lineage: Bacteria; Pseudomonadati; Planctomycetota. The record is from RNAcentral.